Molecule: non-coding RNA, 125 nt
Organism: Megalopta genalis
Lineage: Eukaryota; Metazoa; Arthropoda; Insecta; Hymenoptera; Halictidae
Source: RefSeq, a predicted model, not a curated record
UUUGUAAAUAUCACGCCUACUUUGGUUUUUACGAGCAUUUUCGCAAACCUCUACAAAUUCGCCGAUUCGGCCCGGUAUUCUUCGCCUAGGUACGCUUCUUUCGCUCGGUGCUAAAAGGGUUAAAA